Molecule: long non-coding RNA, 1517 nt
Organism: Vitis vinifera (wine grape)
Lineage: Eukaryota; Viridiplantae; Streptophyta; Magnoliopsida; Vitales; Vitaceae
Exons: 2
Source: RefSeq, a predicted model, not a curated record
UUUUCCCUGUCAGUAGCCACCGGUCUCCAUGUCAGCAAGCAAGUGCACAAUUUAAUAAACACUAAAAUUUGAAACUUGAAGUUAUGAAAUCUGAAACCCACAAAACACCCGACCCGAGAAACAUUUGAAAGUUAGGGAACUCUCUCUGUCACUUGCUCUCGUUUUGCCCUAACCUGAUCUCAGAAAAUGUUCAUUUUCAUAGCUCGUUUGAUACAACCGAUCUAUUUAUUGAGGUCUUGAGCAGGCGAUGGAUACCCAUCUUUCAAAAGCCGUCUUCGUUUGAUUUUGGCCUAACCCUGUCGUGUCUCUCUUCGUGAGUUGACCACCCAAACCCAAUCGGUAUCUUCCGAAAACCUUCAACGAAGCCAAAGUCGAGGCAUAUUUUCAUAUUUCUUCAUCAAAGGUUGAAUUUUUUUAAGGUUUCUGGAAACCGAAGUGGAGCUUCCUCAAUCAAUCUCAGGAGAACAGAAAAUGGAUAAACUUCUAGCUAUCAGAUUGACUAGGUUUGUUGCAUAUUGAUUAAUUUUAUCCCUGGAAAUUGAAUUCUAAUACUUGUAGCAAGAUAUUUUGGAACAUUUGAAUAUAUGAAGUAUUUGGAACCUUUAACUAGGGCCCUCUGAUCGCUGAUAUUGUAUAUUGCAACUUCAAUUGAUUUUUCCUUGGUCAAUUAACCAUGAUUUGUAAUUUGUAAAUUUCUGUGUGUAUUUCCUCUUUUAAUUUUAGUUUUUAUUUAUUUACUUAUUUACUUAUUUUUAUGUUUCUUUGUGUAACAUGUACUUGUCUAAAACUUGAAGUUGUGACCAAAUGUUGCAAACAUGUUUAAUAUAUGUUUUUUUUUUUUCCAAAACUCUGAAAUUCCUCACCUGUUAAUCUGAAUUUUCAUCAUUUCUUCCUAUAAAUUGUUAGUCCUUCGCUUGAAAAGAAGGAUGGGAGGAUGCGGAAGUUUAUAUUCUAUAUGAUGUGUUAGAAUUGUUAGUCCUUUGCUGGAGAUGUUGUUUAUAUCUUGCGACAUCUCAUAGAAUUUUUUAGGAAAAAGAAAAAGACAUGUUUGUUGCACCUCAAAUGCUGUAAGGCUGCAUUUGGUUGUUCACUGUUGUUGUAAGGAUAAAGGAUUUGAAGAUGAAAAACCGAUUAUUGCAGAACUGAGAAGUGAAGGCAUAAUUGCAAUUAGAGCAGCAGGAUUCUGCCGGGAGGGUCAGAACGGAUACACACAUUGAGAGAAAGUGGGAUGAGAAGCAUGAAUGAUGACCAUUUUGGUUGUUCGGUAUUUUCUGUCUCAAGGACAAGAUGACUCAAUUCUGUUUCUUGUACCAUUUUUAGUCCUGAUGUGAAGCCGAUUGCCAUUUGGGAUGUUCUUACUUUGGCUCUAAUACUCAACUUAUAUUUCAGGGAUUUAAUUAGAAUUAGUUGUACCCAUUUAAUUUGUAUACAUAAGAUUUUUGUAGAAUUCACUAGCAAUUUCUCCGAUGUAAUGAGGUAUAUUUGAAACCAGUAACUGAGUUGAUCAUUCUCUCUAA